UGAGCUCUGUGGUCGGCAGCCAGGGGCACUUGGCCACCUUGGCCCCAAGUCUUUGGAAGGUCCUCCUUUUUUGUCCUCCACUUCUUGGUGGAGUUGUACUCCUAGGAGAAUCCACCAGCUGAACUCCUGGCCCAGCUGGAGCAAGCUGAGCCCACUGAGGCACAGUCCACGGGACCAGCUCCAGCCCCAGCUGAAGUCCCACAUGUGGAGCCCAAGCCAGCUCCACCUGCAGCUUCCUGCCCAGUGCUGGGACCACAGCCAGAGUCCGUGGCAGCCCCUUCACCUGCUGCAGUGCUGGGGCACCCGGUGGUUGCACGGUGGUCGGUGUCACCUCCUGAGCUCCGCCUGGGGCCAGCUCCUGGCCCCCUCCCACUGUUCCCCUCACUUAUGCUGGCUCUUGUUUUGGUAUUUACAAUUGCCCUUAUUUCUUGG
RNAcentral lists this long non-coding RNA (432 nucleotides) under Heterocephalus glaber (naked mole-rat). RNAcentral's name for it is "lncRNA (ENSHGLG00000029805.2)". Lineage: Eukaryota; Metazoa; Chordata; Mammalia; Rodentia; Bathyergidae. The record is from RNAcentral.